Sipha flava (yellow sugarcane aphid) is the source of this 904-nucleotide long non-coding RNA. RefSeq lists it as uncharacterized. The record is from RefSeq and is a predicted model, not a curated record. The transcript has 4 exons. NCBI's taxonomy places the organism in Eukaryota, Metazoa, Arthropoda, Insecta, Hemiptera, Aphididae.
UUAGUAACUACUUCGGCACAUCCAAUUCUAACUGUGAUAUCGUUUUUUUUAUACCUACUCAUAUUAGUUUUGCAAUGCAUAAUUGUGUACUAAAAAUUCGCCUGUUUUCGACAUAAACUAUCCUAUAAGUUAAUUGUAAAUCAAGUGAAAACAGAAUUCUGGUUUCAUUUUUAAAACAUCUAAAUUAAUCAAUCGGAUCAUACGUAAAUUAUUCCUAAUUUAACAUUGACCACAAUGAUAAUAAUAAAGUACUCAUCAAGACAACCCUCAUUGUCUUGAAACGAUGAUAACAGUGAUAAUAACUCGUGCUUGUUGAUUGAUGUAACGCACCCAUUGGAUUGUUCUCGUUGAUCGUUCAAAGUUCGACUUCGUUAAAAUGGAUUCUUACCUCGUCAUUUCUACUACGAGGACAACCAAUAAGGCAUCGCGAUCUCGUCAACACAUUGGGCCUACAAUUUCUGACGCAGUAACGUAGAACGUUCCAUGGACAAUAAUGAGGAGAGCCGCCGAAUGCGAUCAAACUGAUUGAGCAUUCCUUCUACGGUUUCAAUACUUAUGUUACGGUUACGCCACCCUAUACCUGCUGCACAAUUAAACAACUCAAUCCAAACCAAAAAUAUUGGUCUUUUGAUGUAAACUGUGUAACACGUAAAUCUAAUCAAAUGAAUAUCAUCUAUAAGACGAUCAAUAAAUGAUUUAAGAUGUUCAAAAUGUUAGUGGACAAAAGCUUGAUGAAAAACAUAUUGCUGUCCAAUACCAAAGAAAUGGUUUUAUGAAAUGAAUAUUAUCAAUAAGGCAUUGACGAUCAAUAUAACAUAAUUCAAGAUAUUCAAUAACAACUUGAAACUUCAAGAAGAUGGACAUUUUUCUAUUUUUAUUACUCUUGCUAAAUUAAUUAUAUGUA